GUGCCAGCAGCCGCGGUAAAACGUAGGAGACGAACGUUAUCCGGAGUUACUGGGCGUAAAGGGCGUGCAGGCGGCCUGAUAAGUCCGGCGUGAAAUCUUUCGGCUUAACCGGGGGAUGUCGUCGGAGACUGUCGGGCUAGAGGGUGAUAGAGGCGUGUGGAAUUCCGGGUGUAGUGGUGAAAUGCGUAGAGAUCCGGAGGAACACCAGUGGCGAAGGCGACACGCUGGGUCAUACCUGACGCUAAUACGCGACAGCAUGGGGAGCGAACGGGAUUAGAAACCCGCGUAGUCC
Molecule: ribosomal RNA, 292 nt
Filed under: uncultured bacterium
Lineage: Bacteria
Description: partial 16S ribosomal RNA
Rfam family: Bacterial small subunit ribosomal RNA
Source: RNAcentral